This 2326-nucleotide ribosomal RNA is filed under the name Campylobacter jejuni. RNAcentral's name for it is "partial 23S ribosomal RNA". It matches the Rfam family "Bacterial large subunit ribosomal RNA", at positions 598 to 2925 of the family's 2925-position model. Lineage: Bacteria; Pseudomonadati; Campylobacterota; Epsilonproteobacteria; Campylobacterales; Campylobacteraceae. The record is from RNAcentral.
GGACUGCCUUUUGCAUAAUGAGCCUGCGAGUUGUGGUGUCUGGCAAGGUUAAGCAAACGCGAAGCCGUAGCGAAAGCGAGUCUGAAUAGGGCGCUUAGUCAGAUGCUGCAGACCCGAAACGAAGUGAUCUAUCCAUGAGCAAGUUGAAGCUAGUGUAAGAACUAGUGGAGGACUGAACCCAUAGGCGUUGAAAAGCCCCGGGAUGACUUGUGGAUAGGGGUGAAAGGCCAAUCAAACUUCGUGAUAGCUGGUUCUCUCCGAAAUAUAUUUAGGUAUAGCGUUGUGUCGUAAUAUAAGGGGGUAGAGCACUGAAUGGGCUAGGGCAUACACCAAUGUACCAAACCCUAUCAAACUCCGAAUACCUUAUAUGUAAUCACAGCAGUCAGGCGGCGAGUGAUAAAAUCCGUCGUCAAGAGGGAAACAACCCAGACUACCAGCUAAGGUCCCUAAAUCUUACUUAAGUGGAAAACGAUGUGAAGUUACUUAAACAACCAGGAGGUUGGCUUAGAAGCAGCCAUCCUUUAAAGAAAGCGUAAUAGCUCACUGGUCUAGUGAUUUUGCGCGGAAAAUAUAACGGGGCUAAAGUAAGUACCGAAGCUGUAGACUUAGUUUACUAAGUGGUAGGAGAGCGUUCUAUUUGCGUCGAAGGUAUACCGGUAAGGAGUGCUGGAGCGAAUAGAAGUGAGCAUGCAGGCAUGAGUAGCGAUAAUUAAUGUGAGAAUCAUUAACGCCGUAAACCCAAGGUUUCCUACGCGAUGCUCGUCAUCGUAGGGUUAGUCGGGUCCUAAGUCGAGUCCGAAAGGGGUAGACGAUGGCAAAUUGGUUAAUAUUCCAAUACCAACAUUAGUGUGCGAUGGAAGGACGCUUAGGGCUAAGGGGGCUAGCGGAUGGAAGUGCUAGUCUAAGGUCGUAGGAGGUUAUACAGGCAAAUCCGUAUAACAAUACUCCGAGAACUGAAAGGCUUUUUGAAGUCUUCGGAUGGAUAGAAGAACCCCUGAUGCCGUCGAGCCAAGAAAAGUUUCUAAGUUUAGCUAAUGUUGCCCGUACCGUAAACCGACACAGGUGGGUGGGAUGAGUAUUCUAAGGCGCGUGGAAGAACUCUCUUUAAGGAACUCUGCAAAAUAGCACCGUAUCUUCGGUAUAAGGUGUGGUUCGCUUCGUAUUAGGAUUUACUCCGAAAGCGAAGAAACUUACAACAAAGAGUCCCUCCCGACUGUUUACCAAAAACACAGCACUCUGCUAACUCGUAAGAGGAUGUAUAGGGUGUGACGCCUGCCCGGUGCUCGAAGGUUAAUUGAUGGGGUUAGCAUUAGCGAAGCUCUUGAUCGAAGCCCGAGUAAACGGCGGCCGUAACUAUAACGGUCCUAAGGUAGCGAAAUUCCUUGUCGGUUAAAUACCGACCUGCAUGAAUGGCGUAACGAGAUGGGAGCUGUCUCAAAGAGGGAUCCAGUGAAAUUGUAGUGGAGGUGAAAAUUCCUCCUACCCGCGGCAAGACGGAAAGACCCCGUGGACCUUUACUACAGCUUGACACUGCUACUUGGAUAAGAAUGUGCAGGAUAGGUGGGAGGCUUUGAGUAUAUGACGCCAGUUGUAUAUGAGCCAUUGUUGAGAUACCACUCUUUCUUAUUUGGGUAGCUAACCAGCUUGAGUUAUCCUCAAGUGGGACAAUGUCUGGUGGGUAGUUUGACUGGGGCGGUCGCCUCCCAAAUAAUAACGGAGGCUUACAAAGGUUGGCUCAGAACGGUUGGAAAUCGUUCGUAGAGUAUAAAGGUAUAAGCCAGCUUAACUGCAAGACAUACAAGUCAAGCAGAGACGAAAGUCGGUCUUAGUGAUCCGGUGGUUCUGUGUGGAAGGGCCAUCGCUCAAAGGAUAAAAGGUACCCCGGGGAUAACAGGCUGAUCUCCCCCAAGAGCUCACAUCGACGGGGAGGUUUGGCACCUCGAUGUCGGCUCAUCGCAUCCUGGGGCUGGAGCAGGUCCCAAGGGUAUGGCUGUUCGCCAUUUAAAGCGGUACGCGAGCUGGGUUCAGAACGUCGUGAGACAGUUCGGUCCCUAUCUGCCGUGGGCGUAAGAAGAUUGAAGAGAUUUGACCCUAGUACGAGAGGACCGGGUUGAACAAACCACUGGUGUAGCUGUUGUUCUGCCAAGAGCAUCGCAGCGUAGCUAAGUUUGGAAAGGAUAAACGCUGAAAGCAUCUAAGCGUGAAGCCAACUCUAAGAUGAAUCUUCUCUAAGCUCUCUAGAAGACUACUAGUUUGAUAGGCUGGGUGUGUAAUGGAUGAAAGUCCUUUAGCUGACCAGUACUAAUAGAGCGUUUGGCUUAUCUUU